Molecule: long non-coding RNA, 1116 nt
Organism: Fundulus heteroclitus (mummichog)
Lineage: Eukaryota; Metazoa; Chordata; Actinopteri; Cyprinodontiformes; Fundulidae
Exons: 2
Source: RefSeq, a predicted model, not a curated record
AAAAUCAAUCAAUAAAUAUGUUAAUGUGGUUAACAAUUCAUUAAAAACAUCUGUAAUAUUUUAUUUUAUUCAGUAUGUUAUUUCAUGAGUUAUUUUGUGUUUAAAAUGCAUUUGGAUCUUUAUUUUGAAGGGCACGUUGCUGCGUGACCCAGGUGACCAACAACCACCAAUCGGAUUGUUCAAAGGUUUUUUUCUUGUCUGGAAGCUUGUGGUUUUUGCGGAGCGGGCUAAAAGAAAAUCUUUGAGAGAGGAAGGUAAAGAAAAAAACGUUGAGAGAGGAAGGUGAAGAACCUUAAGUGGUUAGAAGCCAAUUUUGGUGGAUUUUGUGGAGAAGAUAUUUUCCGUACUCGAUCUGUACCUGUGUGGAGACGAUUAGUACGUUGGAAAACGGGACUUGGCCAUUUAGAGUGGGUUGGAGAAUUAUUCAACUGACACGACUUGGAAACCACGAGGUUAAAGCAAGAUGGCGAGCCACCCUGUGAUCUUCUGAACUGUGCUGUGCAACUACCAGAGUAAUAGCGUCUCUAUUGGACGGUGCGGAUUGCUUCCGAACUGGUAGGAUUCAUCCACUUUCUGCAAAGCUGCAGCGGACUCUUGGUGAACCCUGAGUUGCUUAUUGAAAAAAAGAAAAGCAGAUAGAGAAGAGGACCCUCUUUUCUUUUGGUUUUGUACCAAUUCAUUCAGUCUUUUGCUGAAUCAAUUUAGUUUGAUAACCUUUGUAUUUUUUUUUUGUGAAACAAAUUGUAAAUGGUAAUUGUUGUUAUGCUAUUUACUUUUUGCAUAAAUGUAAAUGGGUACAUUUACUACAUGAAUCCUCAAACUCGAAAGGCAAACUUCACUGAUGUGAAUUAGAUCAGCCUGAGUUAAUUAACAGAUCAAAAUCUUAACUGAACAGAAUUAAGAACUAAUUUGAACUAAACCAGACUAAAAAGGUUGCAACCUGAUACUAGAGCCUGAUAACAAAAUCUGAUAUGAAGUCAAAAGUCAGAGGUUAAUUCGAAAGGUUAAAACCUAAUUACUUAACAAAAGGGGUUAAGGUAAUUUGAAAUUGUGUUAAGUGUUGUCCAGUGUCUUGUUUGUAAGUUGUUUCAAUAAUAAGCCGGCAGUUUAAACUUA